AUGGAAGGUGAAGAAAAUGAGUAUGAUGUUGAAGGAAAUGGGCAUCUCAAUCAGCCCAUCACACGGUUUCACUUCAACGCAUUACGUGAUCAUCUACGCCGAGAGUUCAGAAACAGCCUUGACCCAAUUGAAGAGAAGCAAGACAGGUUGUCGAGAGAUUUGCAGCAACUUAUGGGUAAUGUUGAUGAGCAACUCACUCAGAACAUGGCAGCCAUGAGGACUGGUAUUGUUGCUGAUAUUGUGCGAGAGCUUUGUCAGAACUGAGAAGAUGCAAGUGUCCAUGGUGAAGAACAAAAUUUAACUGAUGGGGAAGGUGCUGCCUCCAAUGCACAAGCUAGAAGAAACCAUGCUCCUGCUCCCCAUGCCAUGAGACCUCCCAGUCCUGGACAUGGAAAUGAUCAUGGUAAUGGACGUGGUCAUCAUGAAGCUGCUGCUGGUCGUGGUCUUAGAGGAGGCCACUGAAGAUCAAAUCUGCACCAUGAAGGUAGUGGAGAUGAGUUUGAUGAAGAUGAAGAUGGCAUGCACCAUAAUGACAGAUUUCAUCAUCGUAGAAACUAUGGUCGUGGACGGCAGGAGGAGGAGAGGUUU
Molecule: ribosomal RNA, 588 nt
Filed under: Triticum aestivum (bread wheat)
Lineage: Eukaryota; Viridiplantae; Streptophyta; Magnoliopsida; Poales; Poaceae
Description: partial small subunit ribosomal RNA
Source: RNAcentral